This 254-nucleotide ribosomal RNA is filed under the name uncultured bacterium. Its description in RNAcentral is "partial 16S ribosomal RNA". It matches the Rfam family "Bacterial small subunit ribosomal RNA", at positions 524 to 776 of the family's 1533-position model. The record is from RNAcentral.
GACGUAGGGCGCAAGCGUUGUCCGGAUUUAUUGGGCGUAAAGAGCGUGUAGGCGGCCUGGAAGGUCAGCUGUGAAAACUCCAGGCUCAACCUGGAGAUGCCACCCAAGACUGCUAUGACUUGAGUCUGGUAGGGGAGCACGGAAUUCCUGGUGUAGCGGUGAAAUGCGCAGAUAUCAGGAGGAACACCGGUGGCGAAGGCGGUGCUCUGGGCCAUUACUGACACUGAGAAGCGAAAGCAUGGGGAGCGAACAGG